UAGGGAAUCUUCGGCAAUGGGGGCAACCCUGACCGAGCAACGCCGCGUGAGUGAAGAAGGUUUUCGGAUCGUAAAGCUCUGUUGUAAGUCAAGAACGAGUGUGAGAGUGGAAAGUUCACACUGUGACGGUAGCUUACCAGAAAGGGACGGCUAACUACGUGCCAGCAGCCGCGGUAAUACGUAGGUCCCGAGCGUUGUCCGGAUUUAUUGGGCGUAAAGCGAGCGCAGGCGGUUUGAUAAGUCUGAAGUUAAAGGCUGUGGCUCAACCAUAGUUCGCUUUGGAAACUGUCAAACUUGAGUGCAGAAGGGGAGAGUGGAGUUCCAUGUGUAGCGGUGAAAUGCGUAGAUAUAUGGAGGAACACCGGUGGCGAAAGCGGCUCUCUGGUCUGUAACUGACGCUGAGGCUCGAAAGCGUGGGGAGCGAACAGGAUUAGAUACCCUGGUAGUCCACGCCGUAAACGAUGAGUGCUAGGUGUUGGAUCCUUUCCGGGAUUCAGUGCCGUAGCUAACGCAUUAAGCACUCCGCCUGGGGAGUACGACCGCAAGGUUG
This 550-nucleotide ribosomal RNA is filed under the name uncultured bacterium. RNAcentral's name for it is "bacterial SSU rRNA". It matches the Rfam family "Bacterial small subunit ribosomal RNA", at positions 355 to 896 of the family's 1533-position model. The record is from RNAcentral.